This 396-nucleotide unclassified non-coding RNA is filed under the name soil metagenome. RNAcentral describes it as "partial contains 5.8S ribosomal RNA, internal transcribed spacer 2, and large subunit ribosomal RNA". The stretch from base 1 to 122 matches the Rfam family "5.8S ribosomal RNA", at positions 35 to 154 of the family's 154-position model. The record is from RNAcentral.
GAUGAAGAACGUAGCGAAAUGCGAUACUUGGUGUGAAUUGCAGAAUCCCGUGAACCAUCGAGUCUUUGAACGCAAGUUGCGCCCGAAGCCAUUUGGUUGAGGGCACGUCUGCCUGGGCGUCACACACCGUUACCCUCGCGCCAACGUCCAUCGUUGGCCGCGGCGCGGGGCGUGCGCUGACCUCCCGCGAGCGGGGUCUCGUGGUUGGUUGAAAAUCGAGUUCGCGGUCGAGGGUGCCGUGAUGAAAUGGUGGAUGGGCGACGCCCGAGGCCAAUCACGCGCGACUCUGUCCGGCUCGGACUCCUGGACCCCUUCGGCGUCUCCGGACGCUCUUUGGCGAGACCUCAGGUCAGGCGGGGCUACCCGCUGAGUUUAAGCAUAUCAAUAAGCGGAGGA